Molecule: ribosomal RNA, 301 nt
Filed under: uncultured bacterium
Lineage: Bacteria
Description: partial 16S ribosomal RNA
Rfam family: Bacterial small subunit ribosomal RNA
Source: RNAcentral
CAGUCGCCGCGGUAAUACGGAGGGCGCGAGCGUUACCCGGAUUUACUGGGCGUAAAGGGCGUGUAGGCGGCCUGGGGCGUCCCAUGUGAAAGGCCACGGCUCAACCGUGGAGGAGCGUGGGAUACGCUCAGGCUAGAGGGUGGGAGAGGUGGUGGAAUUCCCGGAGUAGCGGUGAAAUGCGCAGAUACCGGGAGGAACGCCGAUGGCGAAGGCAGCCACCUGGUCCACUUCUGACGCUGAGGCGCGAAAGCGUGGGGAGCAAACCGGAUUAGAUACCCCGGUAGUCCCUGUCUCUUAUAGA